This 159-nucleotide small nuclear RNA is filed under the name Labrus bergylta (ballan wrasse). RNAcentral describes it as "U1 spliceosomal RNA (ENSLBEG00000008114.1)". It matches the Rfam family "U1 spliceosomal RNA". Rfam says of the family: U1 is a small nuclear RNA (snRNA) component of the spliceosome (involved in pre-mRNA splicing). The record is from Rfam by way of RNAcentral. Lineage: Eukaryota; Metazoa; Chordata; Actinopteri; Labriformes; Labridae.
AUACUUACCUGGCAGGGGAUACCAUGAUCAAGAAGGUGGUUCACCCAUGGCGAGGCCUGGCCAUUGCACUCCGGUGGGCUGACCUAUGCGAAUUCCCAAAUGUGGGAAUCUCGACUGCAUAAUUUGUGGUAGUGGGGACUGCGUUCGCGCUCUCCCCUG